Molecule: non-coding RNA, 262 nt
Organism: Vicugna pacos (alpaca)
Lineage: Eukaryota; Metazoa; Chordata; Mammalia; Artiodactyla; Camelidae
Source: RefSeq, a predicted model, not a curated record
GCGAGGUGGGACCCGCGGUGGGUGGAAGACAAUCGCCUUUGCGGCCGGUUUGGGCUCCAGCCCCGGGGGGAUCACUUCUAGGAUGAGCUGGUCUCUGCCACGAUGGUCACAGCUCUCGGUCUUUCCCAGGCUCAGCUUCUUCAUCCAUGAAGUGGGGCCCUGAGCGUGUGCUGGGUGCGCAGGCAGCCUGUGAGAUCGGGACCCUGCAGCCUCACCCAUCUCUAGCGGCAAUGAAUUAAUUUGGAGUCUCCAUUUUGAACAA